UAAAAAGGUAAAAUAGAAGAUUUGAGUAGUAAUAGAGUUCUCAAAACUAAAAGAGUUUGGCGGUAUUUAAGUCUUUCCAGAGGAACCUGUAAUUUAAUCGAUAAUCCUCGGUAAUUUUACUUUAAUUAAAAUUUGUAUAUCGUUGUCAUCAGAAUAAUUUUUUGAAUGUUUUCGUAAUUUUUGAUAAGAGGAUGUCAAAUCAAGGUGCAGUGGAUGUUAGAGGUUUUAUGGGUUACAAUAUUGGAGAAUAUACGAAUAAUUUUUUUGUAAUAGUUAUUUGAAGGCGGAUUUGGAUGUAAUUUUUUGGUAGGUUGAUAGGGUGAACAAGAUCUAAAAUAUGC
RNAcentral lists this ribosomal RNA (341 nucleotides) under Paralamyctes neverneverensis. Its description in RNAcentral is "partial 12S ribosomal RNA". Lineage: Eukaryota; Metazoa; Arthropoda; Chilopoda; Lithobiomorpha; Henicopidae. The record is from RNAcentral.